GUGGCUGUGAAACUAGCAAUAAGCCAGAUAGUGCCUUACGAUAUAUUUUUGAUACUUUUAUACAUCAUACGUCACGAAAGAUGGCCGAAACGAUUUAAAGGGAAACUUUUUUCUAAUAGGCAAUAUUUAUUGCGAAGGAUCUGAAUUUAGCAAUAUCUGAAUUGUAAUAUAUUUCAAAGGAGAUUCACGAAUUUCAACUACGGCCACGGUGAUACCUAAAUAUUCGACAUCCGAGGUGAAGCAUAUUUAAAUUGGCACCAUCUCUUCUUCCGUACAUCCGACGAUACAUCCUACGUGGAUAGUACAAAUGUCCGACCAUCAACCAGAUUAAGGGAGGAUGUCAUAUUUAUAAUUGAACCAUCACAAAUCCUCCGGAUGGUAUUUAAGUCAAUUUGGAGAGAAAGGCACCUAGUCAUCUGGUGCUUGGAUACAACCUGAUGAUAUUACUGUGCUAUUACGAUAGCAACCAUCCACUUGAAUACAGGAUUUUAAUAAACGAGCACAUUGGACUGUGGAAACAGAAGAUCGUUUCAAGAAGCAUUUGGAAAAUGUAAGCAGCCAUUCCUCGUAGAAUAAUGUACUUGAAAUGCCUGUAUCUUCUUUGAAUGUAUUAUAAUUUAUGUAUUGGUGAAUUCCGGUUCUUCGCAAUAAAUUUUGCCUAUUGGAA
Long non-coding RNA from Vespula pensylvanica (western yellowjacket), 667 nucleotides. RefSeq lists it as uncharacterized. NCBI's taxonomy places the organism in Eukaryota, Metazoa, Arthropoda, Insecta, Hymenoptera, Vespidae. The transcript is spliced from 4 exons. The record is from RefSeq and is a predicted model, not a curated record.